Lycium barbarum (goji berry) is the source of this 527-nucleotide long non-coding RNA. RefSeq lists it as uncharacterized. The record is from RefSeq and is a predicted model, not a curated record. The transcript is spliced from 4 exons. NCBI's taxonomy places the organism in Eukaryota, Viridiplantae, Streptophyta, Magnoliopsida, Solanales, Solanaceae.
GGUACAUGUAUAUCCUCCUUGCUCUGUCCAGUGUCCUCCAUAUUAUAUAGUGGAUCCCCAUUAGAACUAUUGGUUUUCAUCUUCUGGUGCUUUCUCUCCUAUGAUAGAGCUUUUCUUUUCCCUUAUAUCUGCUUGCUGGUCAGCUAGGCCUGGUCCUAUUUGCCGUAGCCAAAUCCACUGUCAAAGGCUUUCCUACUGCAGUUGCCAUGGAGAAAACAGCUUCUCUUGCAAAAAAAUUUGGAGGUAAUAUGCUGGAGUGGAUAGCAUCUUCACAUAAUCUUCAAAGAGAGAAAAUCUAAUCAGAAUGUAUCUUUCAUCAAUAAGGCCAAUGGUGGCAUUCCCUUUGAUUGCACAUUGUACUGGAAUUACUUCUCUUAGUUUCUUUAUGUCUAUGAUAUCAUAAGAGAAUUUGCCCAAGAUUGCAUAUUGUAAAUCUUCUUUGAUUAUCAUCUGGUGUAUUUCCUUAGAAUUCCAAGUUAUGUGGGGUUCACCAUCUACAAAAAUAACAGUCUUGGAUGGGAUAUUAA